Molecule: RNA transcript, 7887 nt
Organism: Mus musculus (house mouse)
Lineage: Eukaryota; Metazoa; Chordata; Mammalia; Rodentia; Muridae
Gene: C2cd3
Gene name: C2 calcium-dependent domain containing 3
Exons: 34
Source: RefSeq, marked validated
GUAGUCCAUUUGCAGGGGCUCUAAUUGGCGCCUUCUUUUGGCACCGCUUUCCGGGAACUGUUGGUGAAAGAGUGUUUCUUCCUGCGUCCCAGGCUUCCCAGCGGCGCCCGUUGCCGGGGAACGCAGGCGCCGUGGGAAGGGAUGGCGGGAGCGUACAGCUUAGGAGCUGGCACCUGCGUUGAAUUUGUGACGAAGGGCCCAGGCUCGGGAUGAAACAACGGAAAGGCCAAGGGCCUGGGGGCGGCCGUGGGCGCAAAAAGAGAGGUUUGAGUGACAUUUCACCGUCUACAAGCCUGCCACCUCUGGUUGAAGGGCAGUUACGCUGCUUUCUCAAACUCACUAUUAAUAAGGUUGUAUGGAAGAUUGCGAAGCCUCCUACUUCUGUACUUGUCCGAGUAAGGUGGUGGGGAGAAACAUCCGAUGGAACCCUCUUUUGUCCCAGAGAUGCAUUACAGACUGAGCCAAAAGCUGUGAGAACAACUACCCGUUACGGGAUUCGCUGUGGUCCAAAGCAGUUUACCUCGUAUCUGACAGAUAUGGCUGUGCUGGUGUUGGAAGUAAUCACCAAGUUUGAUCAUCUUCCUGUUGGCAGAGUUCAGAUCAGUGGACUUGCCCAGCUGUCUCCAACCCAUCAGAUCAAUGGGUUUUUUACCAUUGUUUCACCAGCAUCGAAGAAACUUGGAGAACUUCAGGUCUCGCUUGCCCUGGAGCCUCUGUCAGAAACUUAUGACAGCUACAAACCUCUUCCUGCCACUGAAGUGACAAAAAAUGUGCUUUUAUCUGAGCGAGAACUCAGAGAGAAUACUGAAUCCAGCAACACCCAGUCUAUGAUCCCGUCAAGGUCUUGUAGGGGACCUGCCAUCAAAAUUGAUGGGAAAGAAUUAGCAGGCCACAGCAGCAGGUCAACCACGCCAAGGGGAAAGGACCACUUGUACUUUGCAGAGAACUCCGAUGCAGUAAAGGGUUCUUUGUGUGGACUACAGCAGCACCUUAAUCAAGGGACGAAUGUAGAGACUAUAACUCUGAGGGGCAAAGCCCCACAGAAGCAGCUGUCCCUCCUGAACAGCUCUGAGUUUCAGCCACAAAUUAGUACAGUCGCCAAGAGUCACAGUGACUCAUGCAUCCUGUCUUCAAACACCCCCCCUGCAAAGGACCUUCUUUCAGCUCUGUUAGAACAAGGCAAUAAGCUGCGGAAUGCCAUGUUGAUUUCUGCAAUGAACUCCAACCCAGAUACUAGUAUGCUGCUUGACAAAGUCCCUCCUCCUAUGACAGAAGCUAUUCCCAGAUCGUCAGCACUGAACUCAUCUGAGAAUCACUUUAAAGGCCACAGUGCAGACCACCUUCUCCCCUUGGCGGACACCGGAGCUAUACAGCUGCUGUUGGGCAGUGCUGAAUUGUCCCAAGGUCAUUUCUGGAAUGGAUUAGGCUCUCCUCCAGAUUCCCCGACUCCUGGGAGUGAUGAGUACUGCAGCAGUGACCUGAAUGAUCCUCAGUAUGACCAGAGUCUGCUGGAGAACUUGUUUUACACAGUGCCUAAAUCUGAUGUCGGCACCAGUGAGCUCCCCAGUGAAGAUGAUGGAGUGGAACCUUCUAGAACAAUGAACCAGUCCAAAGCCUCUGGCAGAUCUAAGGUUGUAGAGUCAAAAGAGCAGAAGCAGAAGAGGGCAGCUGUCAAGAAAAGCAGAAACCCAAUUGACCAGCAAGAGCUCUCAAGAACUCCAGGACAUACCCCAGCGAUGUCACUAAGUGUGGAUAGACUGGCUCUUCUGGGUAGAGUACAUUCGGUCAGAAUCAUCGUUGAAACCAUGGGAGUCCCUCCAGAUAGUCCCCAUAUGACACCAAGCAGGAAGAACUUUGCCGGGAAACCACCAAAGCCAACAGCAGCAAAAAAGCGCACUUUCUUUGUGGAGUAUCACUUUCCUGUGGGCUUUUCCAAAAGUGGACUGGGAAAGACAGCUUUGAUCACUGAGGUUGUUAGACUUGCCUCCAGUAAAAUCACCGAUGGAGUGGUGAAAUUCCAGCAGCGAUUUGUGUGUCCAGUAGAGUUUGGUGGCCCGAUGAUAGAGCACUGGUGGGAUUCUAACCUCAUCUUCCAAAUUUAUGCAAAGAAAACCCCACAGAAAAAGCCAGAAGUCAUUGGAUCUGCAUCUCUCCCUUUGCGAGCUGUCAUUCAGUCAGAGCUGCUUUCUUUCAGUAGCCAGCUUCCAGUGCAACAGGAAAAUGGUCUGUCUUCACUUGGCCCCCUAAAGGUCACCAUGGAGCUUGUUUUAGGCCACAAGGAUUUCACUGGAAUCAGUGCUAAGUUAAGUAGCAGCACCCAACCUGCUCCAGUUUCUGCUGCUACAAGUUCAGAUACGAUACUACCAGAGACAGGCCAGGAUACCGCCUGUACCAGAAAUCCACAGAGCUCAAAUAAAAUUCACGAGGAAACCACAAAGAAAACACAGAAUUUAGUGCUCCCCGACCAAGAGUCAGCAAACUCUGUAGCCUCAAACUCUUCAAUCUUCAUGGCUGUGCCAUCUUGCAAUUUAGUCCAUCAAAUAAAUGGCUCAAACAAAGAAAGCGGUUUGCUGUUACAUGUGCUGUUGAUGGUGCCAGAUGGGAAAGAUUUUGUUUUUGGAGAACGGGAGAAACAACCAUCAUGCAAUGUUUAUUUGAAUUGCAAGCUUUUCAGCACAGAAGAAGUCACCAGAUCUGUCGUCUCGUGGGGCACAGCACAGCCUGUCUUUAAUUUUUCUCAGGUGAUCCCUGUCUCUCUGACUUCCAAAUGCCUGGAGAGACUUAAGAACAAUGUGAUGAUAAUUGAAACUUGGAACAAGGUGCGGAGCCCAGGACAGGACAAGCUGCUCGGGCUGGUGAAACUGCCACUCCAUCAGUUUUACAUGUCAUUCAAAGACCCCAAGAUUUCUCGCCUGCUGCUUGAUGCCAGGUACCCAGUUGUUGCUGUUGACAGCUAUAUGCCUGUGAUUGAUGUGUUCUCGGGCCACCAAAAUGGGAGUCUUCGAGUCUUUUUAGCCAUGGGUUCUUCAGCUCAGAUAAUGAUGCUGCAAAGAUUAAAGAAUGAAGAAGGAACACUCCCUCCCUUCAGUCCUAGGCCAGCCCAUUUCCUGGACCAGCCACCUGUAGCAUCUGUUGCUAUGCCAGAAAAACAAGGAACCCGGUUGAUGGAGCACCACUUUGAGUUCUGUGUGGCGAUGGUUAAAGGGCUCAUGCCCCUUCAGGCAACAGUCUGGGGAGAAGCAGAUUGCUACGUCCAGUACUACUUUCCAUUUCAAGACUCCCAACCCAGUGUGCUCCAAGGACCCGACUUCCUUGAAAAUGGAAUUACUCUGAAGCCCUUUAGAACUUCAACCACACUGUGUGUCCCAGAUCCCGUCUUUAAUAGUGAACACCAUCACUCUCUCCUGUUGCCGACUGACGUUCCAGUGCAAAGGCUCCUGCUGAGUGCCUUCUCCUCCCAGGGGCUGGUGCCUGGAGGAGGCGUCCAGUUUGAAGUCUGGUGCAGAUACUAUUAUCCUAACGUAAGGGACCAGAUGGUUGCCAAAGGAACCUUGCCAUUAUCAAGGGUCUGUGCCAUGGUAACCAUGCAGUACCGUGAAGAUGUGGGAAUGCAGAGCUUUAAUCUCCCAUUAACCUCCAGACUUGAGCACAGCAAAGAAUUAAAGAACCAGUCAUCAGGUUUCCUGGAUGUGGGUUUGAGGUACCGGCGUAGCCCAAGAACAGCAGAGGGAAUUCUUGCUGCCCGAGCUGUCUCCAUCUCAGUCCAUAUUAUCAGAGCCUGUGGUCUUCAGGCAGCAGCCAAGGCGUUGGCUGAGCAGGAACCCGCUUUACAGUUUAGCGCCACCGUUGGAGUCAAUGCUUCUGUCACCGCCCAUCUCUCAUUUCUGCCCAAGGGGGAGCAGCGCCAAACCCGCCCUGUGGCCUGCUCCUUCUGCCCUGAGUUCUCCCACCACAUUGAGUUCCCGUGUAACCUGGUGACUCAGCACUGUAGUGGAGAAGCCUGCUUCCUGGCAGAGCUGUUGGAGUUUGCAGAAAUUAUUUUUGCUAUCUAUCAUGAAAAUACCAAAUCAGUCAGUGAUAUAACCAGUAUCCAGUCGUGCAAGGAUUAUCUGCUUGGAAUAGUAAAGGUUCCAACGAAAGAUCUGCUGGUCAAAAGAUCUGGGAUCACAGGAUGGUAUCCUGUCAUUUUACCAGAAGACAAAGGCCUGCCUCAGGACCUGGACUUGAUGCAGAAGAUUGUAGGAGGCUUGGAGCUUUCUGUUUCCUUCGCACAUCCGGGAGAUAGAGAGAGGGUACUGGAAGCUGCUGAGCUGCUGGGCUGGAGCUUUGAGAGCAUCCCAAAGGAUCUUGUCAAGAAAGAAGAAGAGGUGCCAGCCACUGUCACCAUCUCUACCCCAAGGCUCUGGCUUCCUAUCCACUGUGUGCUGCUUGCUGGUCAUAUGAACAUUCAUAAGAAUACAUAUUGCUACCUUCGCUACAAGCUGUACAAUCAAGAAGCCUUUUGGACUCCUCUCAGGAAACCUAAGGAGUCUACAAACAAAAACCAGGUCCUGAUUACUUUCAAGGCAUCCAAAAGAGCAGAAGUCACUAGGAGCCAGUCCCUGCUUUGGUACUUCAGGGAAGAGAAGUUAGAGAUCCAAGUGUGGCGAGCCUAUGGCAACGACAAUUUAGAGAGGCCACACCAGACUGACAGCUGGAUUGGCUCAGCCUAUGUAGACCUGUCCAGACUUGGGGAAAAAUCUCCAAGGACACUGACUAUCAGUGGGGUGUAUCCCCUGUUUGGAAGAAAUGCUUCCGACCUCUCUGGAGCUGCUCUGCGCAUUCAUGUGCUUCUUUCCCCGCUUUCCCCACACACUGAACCUGCUCGGGAGCUGGACUCCAUGGACUGCAGCAGCCACAGUGAGUCUGAGCAGCACCCCAGAAAGAGCGAUGCGCUCCAGCUCUCUCCACCCCAUGUGCUCCAGACGUCUCCCACCUCCACCCAGGUCCACGGCAACAGUGCUGCAGCCCAAGUGUGCCCCGCCCAGGAGGGCCCUCCUGAGUUGGCUGGGACUUUUGCAGUCAGCAUCCUGGUAGAGAGAGCCAUGCAUCUGAGCUUGAAAGGGAGCCCCUUGACAGACCGGAAAGUAUCUGUACCCAGUUGCUGUGUAUCCUUUGCCACAGCCACUGAGCUGUCUCCUGUCUACACUCACGUGGUUGAAAACACGGAUUCCCCCAUCUGGGGUUUUCACCAGCAGGCAAGGCUUUCAAAAGAGCUGCUUCUGGACCCACAUCAAACCCUGGUCUUCAAAGUGUGGCAUAAAGGAGAUGAAGAGAGGGUGGUUGGCUUUGCCUCGGUGGACCUCUCCCCACUACUGUCUGGCUUUCAGUUUAUCUGUGGCUGGUACAAUAUUACAGACUUCAGUGGAGAGUGCCAAGGGCAAAUCAAAGUUGCUAUUUCACCUAUGGAGAGCCUGAUGCACCUAAAAGAAGAAAGACAAGCAAGACGUGGGAUAGAUACUCCAGGAGCACUGAUUCCAUUGUUUAGCGCCCUUUCCUUCCCUGCCUCUGCUGGAUGCGAUGCAUUCCCUAGGCCCAUUGCAAGGCACGUCGAAGGCCAGCUUGCUCACACAUCUCCAAAGGAGGACGGUCUCUCCUCUCCUGCAAGAAAUGGUGCCAUCAGAAGCCAGGCCGCACGCCAUGAAGAGCAUGUGCAGAACAUCCGCCGCUUUCACGAGUCCCUGCAGCACGGGGAGGCAGUCCUGACAAGUGAUGAGAAGCUGACCACAGCGCCUUCGUCCUCCCACACCUCCAUCCUGACUUCUCUCAGGAAGAAUCUGAGUGAGCUAGAUGAGAUCCAGAAGUACUUCAGCCAGAAGCUCAGCAAGCCCUUCCUGCCCUUCUCCUCUCAGAGCUCGCCUGCUGUCUCACAGAGCCAGGAGAGCCAGAGGGACCCUGUGGCUGCAGGAACCGGCCGCCAGGACCCCGAGAACCAGUGCAUCCUGGAGAAGUCCAAUCACCUGGUGUCGCAAGUCAGCUCCUUGAUCUCAGGUGAUUACUGACGCAAAUGGAAGCGUGAGCAUGCCCGUCAGGACCCAGCUCCCGAGAGAUCUGAGCAUGAGCACUUCCACAGAUCUGCAGACUCUCACCAGAGGUUCACAAGCAGCUUUGACUUCUCAGCAAGCCAGGAGUAGAAGCAGAGCAGUCACCACCAUCCCAGAUGCUCAGGGCACCGAAGCUGCUGGAGAAGGAAGCACCACACUGGAGGAGCCUUUGGCAGGAGCUAUAGAGGCGAGCACAGAUUCCCUGCCUCCCCCUGUUGAAGAGCCUUCCAAGGGAGGAGGGAUGCUCCAUGAGUCGCUGGAGCAGACGAUGCCCAUCACGAGGGUGCAGAGCAUCGAUGACACGGAGGUGGGCCCAGACUACAGUGAUGAAGACUAUGAGGAAGACAUUAUUGAGCCCAGGACCCUAAAUGAAAUAACCACAGUGACAGACAGAACCAGCCCCUGGUCCAGUUUCAUGUCAGACAUGAGUGAGGUCCUUAGCCCUCAGCCCACUGAGGUACAAAGGGAAGGCCCCUCAUGUCCCCCAGAACCUUUCCCCAGAGAGGAGCUGAAGGUCAAAAGUAGCCCGCAAAAGGCAGUCAGCCCCCAGCCUGCACAGGGCUCCCCUAGCCAAAGUGGUGUUUGUGAGGGUGGAGCCUAUAAGAUCGAGGUUGAAGACCUUGCCUCAGCCAAGCCUCAGCCUGUCCCAAGCCUAACAUUCUCAGAAGCCCAAGAGGGCAGCGAUUCUGUUGGAUGGCGUGCAUCACAGAUAAAUCAGGUCAGGAAGCCCAUGCCAGAGAUGCUGGCUGAGAGUGAGGCUUUCUCCAGUGAGUUCAGUGACUCUUCUGAAAGCUUUGAGACGUUUCCUCUACACCUACCCUCCCAAAGCAAAAGAGAAGACUACAAGGACUCCCCUGCUGUGAGGCAGAAGCAGGUACCAACUGGAUCAGAGGUGUCCACAAGGCAGACGCUCCUUCUCCCAGAACCUGUUGUGGUGCCCAACUUCUUUUUGCCUCCCCAACAACUGGAGGCCUCUCUCCGCAUGAUCUCACACUCUCCAGGUUUGCCACCAGCAGCCACAACUGACCAGGACAAGAGUGAAGCCACCAGGGGAGCCCUUGCCCAGAGGCCUUGUCGCCCCAGACCUUACUCCAUCCCUCCCAACCUUCCUGAGGAAGAGACUCGCAGGAUUGCACGGAUAUUUUCUUCCCAGUAUUCCAAAAAGACUGAGGAAACCUGAGGGACGUGGCUACCAGCCAGCCUCUCAGCUCUGUAAAGCUUGCAAGAGACAACAGGCCUGUUUCCCUCAGCAUCCUCAGGCCACUAGCAUCACCCUAUUCCAUGGGUAUCUUGAGACCUAAUCAGCUAAGACCAGAGGAGUGUCCCAAACCACCUAGCAGCUGCCUACCAGGACCUCAGCUUCCUUCUGUAAUGAGGUGACUGCUGGAAGUGAGACUCAAGCACCCAAGUGUCCCACCCAUCUUCUGACUGUGGGGCCUAAGGAGGCCUCUCUGAGCAGAGAAACCAGUGUCCUUGACACAGCCUACUGCUGACCAGAGCCCACCUUCUGCUUAAAUAGGACAGGCUAUUUUUGCCAUAAAUAUUGGAAGAAACAUGGAAUAAGUAUGUACAUAGCUGAGAAAAUUCCAGAGCCCUGUCCAGCUUGUUUGUUUGGGAAUGAGGUAUUUUAUAGAUAUAAAUUAUUUUUAUGAUGUAUUAAUCAAUAGAACAGGGGAAUUGCCUCCUUUAAAACUGUAUUCGGUUGUCUGAAAUUUAACCAUGUUUUUAACAUAAUGUUUGUUUCUACUCAGCUCUGAAAUUCAUUGCUCUUGCCUUUGUUUUUAAUAAAAGUCUGGCAUUUGUA